RNAcentral lists this ribosomal RNA (448 nucleotides) under uncultured bacterium. RNAcentral describes it as "bacterial SSU rRNA". It matches the Rfam family "Bacterial small subunit ribosomal RNA", at positions 330 to 793 of the family's 1533-position model. The record is from RNAcentral.
UCCAGACUCCUACGGGAGGCAGCAGUGGGGAAUAUUGCACAAUGGGGGGAACCCUGAUGCAGCGACGCCGCGUGGGUGAAGGAGUAUUUCGGUAUGUAAAGCCCUCUCAGCAGGGAAGAACAAUGACGGUACCUGACUAAGAAGCACCGGCUAAAUACGUGCCAGCAGCCGCGGUAAUACGUAUGGUGCAAGCGUUAUCCGGAUUUACUGGGUGUAAAGGGAGCGCAGGCGGCGCGUUAAGCCUGGUGUGAAAGCCCGCGGCCCAACCCCGGGACUGCUCUUGGAACUGCGUGGCUAGAGUGCAGGAGGGGCAGGCGGAAUUCCUGGUGUAGCGGUGAAAUGCGUAGAUAUCAGGAGGAACACCGGUGGCGAAGGCGGCCUGCUGGACUGCAACUGACGUUGAGGCCCGAAAGCGUGGGGAGCAAACAGGAUUAGAUACCCCAGUAAG